RNAcentral lists this small nucleolar RNA (216 nucleotides) under Carlito syrichta (Philippine tarsier). Its description in RNAcentral is "Small nucleolar RNA U3 (ENSTSYG00000035737.1)". It matches the Rfam family "Small nucleolar RNA U3". Rfam says of the family: Small nucleolar RNAs (snoRNAs) are involved in the processing and modification of rRNA in the nucleolus. The record is from Rfam by way of RNAcentral. Lineage: Eukaryota; Metazoa; Chordata; Mammalia; Primates; Tarsiidae.
AAGACAAUAUUUUCAGGAAUCAUUUCUACAGUUCAUUACUAGAGAAGUUCCUCUGAAUGUGUAGAGCACUGGAAGCCACAAAGAGGAAAUGCAGGGUUCUUUUCUAAGCAUGAAACCAGCUCUUGGUGUUGCUUUGCUGCAACUGCCAUUUUCCAUUGAUGAUCAUUCUUCUCUUCCUUUGGGAGAGUAACAGGGAGAGAUUGCAGUCUGAGUGGG